CAGCUGUGUCACAAGUCUACUGUGUUCACAGCAUCAACCUGGCUGUUUAGCAUGGUCCCCAUGGAAUUGGGGGGCACAGAGAAUCUAAACCCAAAAUUUAUGCUGCCUGCUGUUGUGCAAUUUCAUGCUUCUAGACACGAUGUCGGCAUUCCAGGACAGCAGCAGAAAGUGUAGAAAAAUAAAAAAGUCCUACCUCCCUAAUGAGUCAACUGCACUUAAGGAGCCAUCCCAGAAGUUUCACACAGCUUUAUUAAGUAUCACCCAUGGGAACAACCCCUACAGAAGAAUCAGAAUAUAA
RNAcentral lists this long non-coding RNA (298 nucleotides) under Papio anubis (olive baboon). RNAcentral's name for it is "lncRNA (ENSPANG00000037503.1)". The record is from RNAcentral. Lineage: Eukaryota; Metazoa; Chordata; Mammalia; Primates; Cercopithecidae.